GGGACGAACGCUGGCGGCGCGCUUAAAACAUGCAAGUCGAACGAGAAGCUCGGAGCUUGCUCCGGGUGGAAAGUGGCGAACGGGUGAGGAGCACGUGAGGAACCUGCCCCGAAGACCGGGACAACACCGGGAAACCGGUGCUAAUACCGGAUGCCCUCACCGGACCGCAUGAUCCGGUGAGGAAAUGGAUUCCGCUUCGGGAGGGCUCGCGGGCUAUCAGCUUGUUGGUGAGGUAACGGCUCACCAAGGCUUCGACGGGUA
Molecule: ribosomal RNA, 261 nt
Filed under: uncultured bacterium
Lineage: Bacteria
Description: partial small subunit ribosomal RNA
Rfam family: Bacterial small subunit ribosomal RNA
Source: RNAcentral